GGUUAAGCGACUAAGCGUACACGGUGGAUGCCCUGGCAGUCAGAGGCGAUGAAGGACGUGCUAAUCUGCGAAAAGCGUCGGUAAGGUGAUAUGAACCGUUAUAACCGGCGAUGUCCGAAUGGGGAAACCCAGUGUGUUUCGACACACUAUCAUUAACUGAAUCCAUAGGUUAAUGAGGCGAACCGGGGGAACUGAAACAUCUAAGUACCCCGAGGAAAAGAAAUCAACCGAGAUUCCCCCAGUAGCGGCGAGCGAACGGGGAGGAGCCCAGAGCCUGAAUCAGUGUGUGUGUUAGUGGAAGCGUCUGGAAAGGCGCGCGAUACAGGGUGACAGCCCCGUACACAAAAAUGCACAUGCUGUGAGCUCGAUGAGUAGGGCGGGACACGUGGUAUCCUGUCUGAAUAUGGGGGGACCAUCCUCCAAGGCUAAAUACUCCUGACUGACCGAUAGUGAACCAGUACCGUGAGGGAAAGGCGAAAAGAACCCCGGCGAGGGGAGUGAAAAAGAACCUGAAACCGUGUACGUACAAGCAGUGGGAGCCCUGAUUUAUCAGGGUGACUGCGUACCUUUUGUAUAAUGGGUCAGCGACUUAUAUUCUGUAGCAAGGUUAACCGAAUAGGGGAGCCGGAGGGAAACCGAGUCUUAACUGGGCGUUAAGUUGCAGGGUAUAGACCCGAAACCCGGUGAUCUAGCCAUGGGCAGGUUGAAGGUUGGGUAACACUAACUGGAGGACCGAACCGACUAAUGUUGAAAAAUUAGCGGAUGACUUGUGGCUGGGGGUGAAAGGCCAAUCAAACCGGGAGAUAGCUGGUUCUCCCCGAAAGCUAUUUAGGUAGCGCCUCGUGAAUUCAUCUCCGGGGGUAGAGCACUGUUUCGGCAAGGGGGUCAUCCCGACUUACCAACCCGAUGCAAACUGCGAAUACCGGAGAAUGUUAUCACGGGAGACACACGGCGGGUGCUAACGUCCGUCGUGAAGAGGGAAACAACCCAGACCGCCAGCUAAGGUCCCAAAGUCAUGGUUAAGUGGGAAACGAUGUGGGAAGGCCCAGACAGCCAGGAUGUUGGCUUAGAAGCAGCCAUCAUUUAAAGAAAGCGUAAUAGCUCACUGGUCGAGUCGGCCUGCGCGGAAGAUGUAACGGGGCUAAACCAUGCACCGAAGCUGCGGCAGCGACACUGUGUGUUGUUGGGUAGGGGAGCGUUCUGUAAGCCUGUGAAGGUGUGCUGUGAGGCAUGCUGGAGGUAUCAGAAGUGCGAAUGCUGACAUAAGUAACGAUAAAGCGGGUGAAAAGCCCGCUCGCCGGAAGACCAAGGGUUCCUGUCCAACGUUAAUCGGGGCAGGGUGAGUCGACCCCUAAGGCGAGGCCGAAAGGCGUAGUCGAUGGGAAACAGGUUAAUAUUCCUGUACUUGGUGUUACUGCGAAGGGGGGACGGAGAAGGCUAUGUUGGCCGGGCGACGGUUGUCCCGGUUUAAGCGUGUAGGCUGGUUUUCCAGGCAAAUCCGGAGAAUCAAGGCUGAGGCGUGAUGACGAGGCACUACGGUGCUGAAGCAACAAAUGCCCUGCUUCCAGGAAAAGCCUCUAAGCAUCAGGUAACAUCAAAUCGUACCCCAAACCGACACAGGUGGUCAGGUAGAGAAUACCAAGGCGCUUGAGAGAACUCGGGUGAAGGAACUAGGCAAAAUGGUGCCGUAACUUCGGGAGAAGGCACGCUGAUAUGUAGGUGAAGCGACUUGCUCGUGGAGCUGAAAUCAGUCGAAGAUACCAGCUGGCUGCAACUGUUUAUUAAAAACACAGCACUGUGCAAACACGAAAGUGGACGUAUACGGUGUGACGCCUGCCCGGUGCCGGAAGGUUAAUUGAUGGGGUCAGCGCAAGCGAAGCUCUUGAUCGAAGCCCCGGUAAACGGCGGCCGUAACUAUAACGGUCCUAAGGUAGCGAAAUUCCUUGUCGGGUAAGUUCCGACCUGCACGAAUGGCGUAAUGAUGGCCAGGCUGUCUCCACCCGAGACUCAGUGAAAUUGAACUCGCUGUGAAGAUGCAGUGUACCCGCGGCAAGACGGAAAGACCCCGUGAACCUUUACUAUAGCUUGACACUGAACACUGGUCCUUGAUGUGUAGGAUAGGUGGGAGGCUUUGAAGUGUGGACGCCAGUCUGCAUGGAGCCGUCCUUGAAAUACCACCCUUUAAUGGCUGGUGUUCUAACGUGGGCCCGUAAUCCGGGUUGCGGACAGUGUCUGGUGGGUAGUUUGACUGGGGCGGUCUCCUCCUAAAGAGUAACGGAGGAGCACGAAGGUUGGCUAAUCCUGGUCGGACAUCAGGAGGUUAGUGCAAUGGCAUAAGCCAGCUUGACUGCGAGCGUGACGGCGCGAGCAGGUGCGAAAGCAGGUCAUAGUGAUCCGGUGGUUCUGAAUGGAAGGGCCAUCGCUCAACGGAUAAAAGGUACUCCGGGGAUAACAGGCUGAUACCGCCCAAGAGUUCAUAUCGACGGCGGUGUUUGGCACCUCGAUGUCGGCUCAUCACAUCCUGGGGCUGAAGUAGGUCCCAAGGGUAUGGCUGUUCGCCAUUUAAAGUGGUACGCGAGCUGGGUUUAGAACGUCGUGAGACAGUUCGGUCCCUAUCUGCCGUGGGCGCUGGAGAACUGAGGGGGGCUGCUCCUAGUACGAGAGGACCGGAGUGGACGCAUCACUGGUGUUCGGGUUGUCAUGCCAAUGGCACUGCCCGGUAGCUAAAUGCGGAAGAGAUAAGUGCUGAAAGCAUCUAAGCACGAAACUUGCCCCGAGAUGAGUUCUCCCUGAGACUUAGAGUCUCCUGAAGGAACGUUGAAGACGACGACGUUGAUAGGCCGGGUGUGUAAGCGCAGCGAUGCGUUGAGCUAACCGGUACUAAUGAACCGUGAGG
RNAcentral lists this ribosomal RNA (2896 nucleotides) under Escherichia albertii. Its description in RNAcentral is "partial 23S ribosomal RNA". It matches the Rfam family "Bacterial large subunit ribosomal RNA". The record is from RNAcentral. Lineage: Bacteria; Pseudomonadati; Pseudomonadota; Gammaproteobacteria; Enterobacterales; Enterobacteriaceae.